Molecule: ribosomal RNA, 380 nt
Filed under: uncultured bacterium
Lineage: Bacteria
Description: bacterial SSU rRNA
Rfam family: Bacterial small subunit ribosomal RNA
Source: RNAcentral
UAUUGGACAAUUGGCGAAAGCCUGAUCCAGCAAUGCCGCGUGAGUGAUGAAGGCCUUAUGGUUGUAAAGCUCUUUUACCAGGGAUGAUAAUGACAGUACCUGGAGAAUAAGCUCCGGCUAACUCCGUGCCAGCAGCCGCGGUAAUACGGAGGGAGCUAGCGUUGUUCGGAAUUACUGGGCGUAAAGCGCACGUAGGCGGCUUUGUAGGUUAGAGGUGAAAGCCUGGAGCUCAACUCCAGAAUUGCCUUUGAUACUGCAUCGCUUGAAUCCAGGAGAGGUGAGUGGAAUUCCGAGUGUAGAGGUGAAAUUCGUAGAUAUUCGGAAGCAACACCAGUGGCGAAGGCGGCUCACUGGACUGGUAUUGACGCUGAGGUGCGAAA